UUAUCAUGCACGGCAGUCUUGAAUGCAGCCCUGCCGCGUGACUGAUGAGGCUCUUCGGGUCUGUAAAGUUCUGUUGUCAGGGAAGAACAAGUGCCGCAUGCUAUGGCUGCACCCUGACCGUACCUUGCCAAAAAGCCCCCGCUAACUACCUGCCCACAGCCCCCGUAAUAACGGGCCCCU
Molecule: ribosomal RNA, 180 nt
Filed under: uncultured Bacillus sp.
Lineage: Bacteria; Bacillati; Bacillota; Bacilli; Caryophanales; Bacillaceae
Description: partial 16S ribosomal RNA
Source: RNAcentral